CUGGGCGUAAGCGCACGCAGGCGGUCUGUCAAGUCGGAUGUGAAAUCCCCGGGCUCAACCUGGGAACUGCAUUCGAAACUGGCAGGCUAGAGUCUUGUAGAGGGGGGUAGAAUUCCAGGUGUAGCGGUGAAAUGCGUAGAGAUCUGGAGGAAUACCGGUGGCGAAGGCGGCCCCCUGGACAAAGACUGACGCUCAGGUGCGAAAGCGUGGGGAGCAAACAGGAUUAGAUACCCUGGUAGUCCACGCCGUAAACGAUGUCGACUUGGAGGUUGUGCCCUUGAGGCGUGGCUUCCGGAGCUAACGCGUUAAGUCGACCGCCUGGGGAGUACGGCCGCAAGGUUAAAACUCAAAUGAAUUGACGGGGGCCCGCACAAGCGGUGGAGCAUGUGGUUUAAUUCGAUGCAACGCGAAGAACCUUACCUACUCUUGACAUCCAGAGAACUUUCCAGAGAUGGAUUGGUGCCUUCGGGAACUCUGAGACAGGUGCUGCAUGGCUGUCGUCAGCUCGUGUUGUGAAAUGUUGGGUUAAGUCCCGCAACGAGCGCAACCCUUAUCCUUUGUUGCCAGCGGUUAGGCCGGGAACUCAAAGGAGACUGCCAGUGAUAAACUGGAGGAAGGUGGGGAUGACGU
Molecule: ribosomal RNA, 630 nt
Filed under: uncultured bacterium
Lineage: Bacteria
Description: bacterial SSU rRNA
Rfam family: Bacterial small subunit ribosomal RNA
Source: RNAcentral